This 258-nucleotide ribosomal RNA is filed under the name uncultured bacterium. RNAcentral's name for it is "partial 16S ribosomal RNA". It matches the Rfam family "Bacterial small subunit ribosomal RNA", at positions 524 to 776 of the family's 1533-position model. The record is from RNAcentral.
UACGUAGGGGGGCGAGCGUUGUCCGGAUUUAUUGGGCGUAAAGAGCGUGUAGGCGGCCAGGUAGGUCUGCUGUGAAAAACUCGAGGCUCAACCUCGAGACGUCGGCGGAAACCAUCUGGCUAGAGUCCGGAAGAGGAGAGUGGAAUUCCUGGUGUAGCGGUGAAAUGCGCAGAUAUCAGGAAGAACACCCCGUGGCGAAGGCGGCUCUCUGGGACGGUACUGACGCUGAGACGCGAAAAGCGUGGGGGAGCGAACAGG